This 363-nucleotide ribosomal RNA is filed under the name Triticum aestivum (bread wheat). Its description in RNAcentral is "partial small subunit ribosomal RNA". The record is from RNAcentral. Lineage: Eukaryota; Viridiplantae; Streptophyta; Magnoliopsida; Poales; Poaceae.
AUGACUUGUAAAGAUUUGCUUUGCCAUACCAGGAAUCGCUGCUCGAAUUUAUCGAAGCUUUUUUUUAAUCAGACUGUUCAGGCAAUCCUUGGUACAGAUUGCUAUUGCCAACCUGGUUAUUCUGUGCUUUGGUGUCGCUAUGACUCGCAUCGUGUUUGCGCUGGCUCAAGGAGGGAAAUGCGAACGCCAAACUUUUUCACCUCGUGGCUAAUGGACGAACGUGCCAAGGGCAUCCCAUCUCUUUGUUCUGGUUCCGACCUGAUCUUGGACCAAAAGGUUAUAGAUGAGGUGUUCUUCCAAGCAUAUGACCUGAGAUAUGUAUGCUGUGCCUGCGCAUUGAAGCGGCACUCUACAAUGUAUUAG